AACGAACGCUGGCGGCAUGCCUAACACAUGCAAGUCGAACGAGACCUUCGGGUCUAGUGGCGCACGGGUGCGUAACGCGUGGGAACCUGCCCUUAGGUUCGGAAUAACUCCCCGAAAGGGGUGCUAAUACCGGAUAAUGUCUUCGGACCAAAGAUUUAUCGCCUUUGGAUGGGCCCGCGUUGGAUUAGCUAGUUGGUAGGGUAAAAGCCUACCAAGGCGACGAUCCAUAGCUGGUCUGAGAGGAUGAUCAGCCACACUGGGAUUGAGACACGGCCCAGACUCCUACGGGAGGCAGCAGUGGGGAAUAUUGGACAGUGGGCGAAAGCCUGAUCCAGCAAUGCCGCGUGAGUGAUGAAGGCCUGAGGGUUGUAAAGCUCUUUUACCCGUGAUGAUAAUGACAGUACCGGGAGAAUAAGCUCCGGCUAACUCCGUG
Molecule: ribosomal RNA, 433 nt
Filed under: uncultured bacterium
Lineage: Bacteria
Description: partial 16S ribosomal RNA
Rfam family: Bacterial small subunit ribosomal RNA
Source: RNAcentral